This 492-nucleotide ribosomal RNA is filed under the name uncultured bacterium. RNAcentral describes it as "partial 16S ribosomal RNA". It matches the Rfam family "Bacterial small subunit ribosomal RNA", at positions 29 to 507 of the family's 1533-position model. The record is from RNAcentral.
AGUGAACGCUGGCGGUAGGCCUAACACAUGCAAGUCGAACGGCAGCACAGUAAGAGCUUGCUCUUACGGGUGGCGAGUGGCGGACGGGUGAGGAAUACAUCGGAAUCUACAUUUUCGUGGGGGAUAACGUAGGGAAACUUACGCUAAUACCGCAUACGACCUACGGGUGAAAGCAGGGGAUCUUCGGACCUUGCGCGAUUGAAUGAGCCGAUGUCGGAUUAGCUAGUUGGCGGGGUAAAGGCCCACCAAGGCGACGAUCCGUAGCUGGUCUGAGAGGAUGAUCAGCCACACUGGAACUGAGACACGGUCCAGACUCCUACGGGAGGCAGCAGUGGGGAAUAUUGGACAAUGGGCGCAAGCCUGAUCCAGCCAUACCGCGUGGGUGAAGAGGGCCUUCGGGUUGUAAAGCCCUUUUGUUGGGAAAGAAAAGCAGCAGGUUAAUACCCCGCUGUUCUGACGGUACCCAAAGAAUAAGCACCGGCUAACUUCGUG